CCUACGGGAGGCAGCAGUGAGGAAUAUUGGUCAAUGGGCGCGAGCCUGAACCAGCCAAGUCGCGUGAGGGAAGACGGUCCUAUGGAUUGUAAACCUCUUUUGUCGGGGAGCAAAAGACGCCACGCGUGGCGUUCCGAGAGUACCCGAAGAAAAAGCAUCGGCUAACUCCGUGCCAGCAGCCGCGGUCAUACGGAGGAUGCGAGCGUUAUCCGGAUUUAUUGGGUUUAAAGGGUGCGCAGGCGGAAGAUCAAGUCAGCGGUAAAAGUGAGAGGCUCAACCUCUUCGAGCCGUUGAAACUGGUUUUCUUGAGUGAGUGAGAAGUAUGCGGAAUGCGUGGUGUAGCGGUGAAAUGCAUAGAUAUCACGCAGAACUCCGAUUGCGAAGGCAGCAUACCGGCGCUCAACUGACGCUCAUGCACGAAAGUGUGGGUAUCGAACAGGAUUAGAUACCCCUGUAGUC
RNAcentral lists this ribosomal RNA (459 nucleotides) under uncultured bacterium. Its description in RNAcentral is "partial 16S ribosomal RNA". It matches the Rfam family "Bacterial small subunit ribosomal RNA", at positions 338 to 795 of the family's 1533-position model. The record is from RNAcentral.